This 291-nucleotide ribosomal RNA is filed under the name uncultured prokaryote. RNAcentral describes it as "partial 16S ribosomal RNA". It matches the Rfam family "Bacterial small subunit ribosomal RNA", at positions 505 to 796 of the family's 1533-position model. The record is from RNAcentral.
GUGCCAGCAGCCGCGGUAAUACGUAGGGGGCUAGCGUUAUCCGGAAUUACUGGGCGUAAAGGGUGCGUAGGUGGUUUUUUAAGUCAGAAGUGAAAGGCUACGGCUCAACCGUAGUAAGCUUUUGAAACUAGAGAACUUGAGUGCAGGAGAGGAGAGUAGAAUUCCUAGUGUAGCGGUGAAAUGCGUAGAUAUUAGGAGGAAUACCAGUAGCGAAGGCGGCUCUCUGGACUGUAACUGACACUGAGGCACGAAAGCGUGGGGAGCAAACAGGAUUAGAAACCCCGGUAGUCC